CAGCCGCCACGGUAAUACGAAGGGGGCUAGCGUUGUUCGGAAUUACUGGGCGUAAAGGGCGCGUAGGCGGCCAUUCAAGUUAGAUGUGAGAGCCCUGGGCUCAACCUAGGAAUUGCAUUUGAUACUGUUUGGCUUGAGUUCGGGAGAGGUGAGUGGAAUUCCCAGUGUAGAGGUGAAAUUCGUAGAUAUUGGGAAGAACACCAGUGGCGAAGGCGGCUCACUGGACCGACACUGACGCUGAGGCGCGAAAGCGUGGGGAGCAAACAGGAUUAGAUACCCGCGUAGUCCCUGUCUCUUAUAC
RNAcentral lists this ribosomal RNA (301 nucleotides) under uncultured bacterium. RNAcentral's name for it is "partial 16S ribosomal RNA". It matches the Rfam family "Bacterial small subunit ribosomal RNA", at positions 509 to 807 of the family's 1533-position model. The record is from RNAcentral.